UUCACAGUUAAAAACAGGAACAUGGGGACAGCUCGGAACCAGACCUCCCCGGCUUCUGGGCUCAUUGGUCCUCAUGGCCUGUCCCCAGAAAACAGGGACACCUGGUCAAUUUACUUCACUCUGCCAGAUUCCAUCCUGGAGGAUACAGUUACUUGUCAAAGUGGAGUUUGUGGAGAUCAAUCCAGCCAAUCCAUUGACCGUUAGAAGCCUGUAAAGACACUUCCCAUAACAGAAGGAAUAUAAAGAAGGAAUAUUUCACUACUUUACUCUGAGGGCGGCCCGGAGCGGCUAAUCGGGAGAUUCUGGACGAUUCCCGAUGGGCCGGCUCAUGUCAGUCUCGAGUGUGGGCGGCUGGAUGGGGGGAUGAUUUUGACAUUUAUCCGUCACUUAUCUGAUCUUUUUACAUUCAUUCUCCGUUCAACUAUCUAUUCAUUCUCCAUUCAUCUGACAGCGCAGCCCCUACAUCGCAGGAGGUCAGAUGGGUUCUACCAUCUGAGGGAAUCCCCCCCCAUGUUUAAGUUGGUUGGGUCCGCGAGUCUCUUUUCUGGAGCGGUAAAUUAAAUGUAGCAGCAGAGCAGCGCGAAGCGGCAGUCGGUGGUGAUGGAGGCAGGAAGACGCCAGGUGGAGCCGAAAAGGCCAGGUUAAAAUAAAGAAAGGCGCUGGAAGAAGAAGAAGCUGCCAGAUGUGCUGAAUGAACAGAGCUGUUCUCCAGAGGACAGACCCCAGCUGCAGCCGGGGAAGAGAGAGGUGGGAGUGACGCUGUACUGUCAGGGUGAGGCUGCUGCGCAACGUUUGCAGCGUCAGCUUAGCGUAGUUUAUUCUGUAGAGCCCAACACACACCACUAAUCUCAAAUAUCCAGUUUCAAGCUGAGAAUAAAUAAACAGGAGUGAAGACAAGGUACAACCUCUACCAACCAUGGGUGGCGCCAAAGCAGGGGCUGGGGGGGGGGGGCACUGGACCCCCCUGAAAUCUGACUGGACCCCCCAGGUGCCACCCCAGAUGACUGACAUGUCACAGCCCCGCACGUCUUGUAGAAAAGCGCCUGGUGCAGUUUGUAAGCGGU
Long non-coding RNA from Pygocentrus nattereri (red-bellied piranha), 1064 nucleotides. RefSeq lists it as uncharacterized. NCBI's taxonomy places the organism in Eukaryota, Metazoa, Chordata, Actinopteri, Characiformes, Serrasalmidae. The record is from RefSeq and is a predicted model, not a curated record. The transcript has 3 exons.